UACGUAGGGUGCGAGCGUUAAUCGGAAUUACUGGGCGUAAAGUGUGCGCAGGCGGCCGAGCAAGUCGAGUGUGAAAGCCCCGGGCUUAACUUGGGAAUUGCGCUCGAAACUACUUGGCUGGAGUGUGACAGAGGAAGGUGGAAUUCCAGGUGUAGCGGUGAAAUGCGUAGAGAUCUGGAGGAACACCGAUGGCGAAGGCAGCCUUCUGGGCCAACACUGACGCUCAUGCACGAAAGCGUGGGGAGCAAACAGG
This 253-nucleotide ribosomal RNA is filed under the name uncultured bacterium. Its description in RNAcentral is "partial 16S ribosomal RNA". It matches the Rfam family "Bacterial small subunit ribosomal RNA", at positions 524 to 776 of the family's 1533-position model. The record is from RNAcentral.